UCUCCGUUGGUGAACCAGCGGAGGGAUCAUUACCGAGUUUACAACUCCCAAACCCAAUGUGAACCAUACCAAACUGUUGCCUCGGCGGGGUCACGCCCCGGGUGCGUCGCAGUCCCGGAACCAGGCGCCCGCCGGAGGGACCAACCAAACUCUUUCUGUAGUCCCCUCGCGGACGUUAUUUUUACAGCUCUGAGCAAAAAUUCAAAAUGAAUCAAAACUUUCAACAACGGAUCUCUUGGUUCU
This 243-nucleotide unclassified non-coding RNA is filed under the name plant metagenome. Its description in RNAcentral is "partial contains small subunit ribosomal RNA, internal transcribed spacer 1, and 5.8S ribosomal RNA". The record is from RNAcentral.